Molecule: ribosomal RNA, 259 nt
Filed under: uncultured bacterium
Lineage: Bacteria
Description: partial 16S ribosomal RNA
Rfam family: Bacterial small subunit ribosomal RNA
Source: RNAcentral
UUGGCGGACGGGUGAGUAACGCGUGGGUAACCUGCCUUGCACUGUGGGAUAACACUUAGAAAUAGGUGCUAAUACCGCAUAAGCGCACGGUCCUGCAUGGGACAGUGUGAAAAACUCCGGUGGUGCAAGAUGGACCCGCGUCUGAUUAGCUGGUUGGCGGGGUAAAGGCCCACCAAGGCGACGAUCAGUAGCCGGCCUGAGAGGGUGGACGGCCACAUUGGGACUGAGACACGGCCCAAACUCCUACGGGAGGCAGCAG